Molecule: long non-coding RNA, 1075 nt
Filed under: Fragaria vesca (wild strawberry)
Lineage: Eukaryota; Viridiplantae; Streptophyta; Magnoliopsida; Rosales; Rosaceae
Description: long non-coding RNA (FVES_LNC004535)
Source: RNAcentral
GGCUGAAAUCAAGCGGAACUCGUAUAUACUAAUCAAAUUAAGAUUUUCGCGUUCCGUCAACUUGAGAAGCAUUGAGAAAUGAUGAUUUGAUAAUAGAAAAAGUUUAGUUCAAAAAUAAGAACAUUCAAUUUUGACCGGAAAAACUGUGUGCUAUAGCAAGGGGUUUUAAGCCGAAAUUAAGCGAAACUCGUAUAUUAUAUUCGGAUUAAGAUUUUCUGGUUCCCUUAGUUCGAGAAGUUCUCAGAGAUGAUAAUUUGAUAAUAGAAAAAGUUUGGUUCAAAAAUAAGAACAUUCAAUUUUAACAAAAAAACCGUGUGCUAUGAUAAGGGGUUUUGGGCCGAAAUCAAACGCAACUCGUAUACAUUAAUCUAAUUCAGAUUUUCGGGUUCCGUCAAUUGGAGAAGUUCAUAGAGUUGAUAAUUUGAUAAUAGAAAAUGUUUGGUUCCAAAAUGAAAACAUUCAAUUUUGACCGAAAAAACUGUGUUAUAGGAAGAGGUUUUAAGCUUAUACCAAGCAAGUCUCAUACAUACUAAUCAGAUUAAGAUUUUCGUGUUCCGUCUGCUGUAGAGGUACUUAGAUAUGAUGAUUUGAUAAUAGAAAAAGUUUGGUUAAAAAAUAAUAACAUUCAAUUUUGACCAAAAAAACCGUGUGCUAUAGCAAGGUGUUUUCGGCCGAAAUCAAGCGGAACUCGUAUACACUAAUCGAAUUAAGAUUUUCACGUUCCGUCAGUUCGAGAAGUUCUAAGAUAUAAUGAAUUGAUGAUAGAAAAAGUUUGGUUCCAAAAUGAAAAUAUUCAAUUUUGACCGAAAAAACGGUGUGCUAGUAAAGGGUCUUGUGCCGAAAUCAAGCAGAACUCGUAUACACUAAUCUAAUUGAGAUUUUCGGGUUCCAUCAGUUCGAGAGGUACUUAGAUAUGUUGAUUUGAUAAUAGAAAAAGUUUGGUUCAAAAAUAAGAACAUUCAAUUUUGACCAGAAAAACCGUGUUCUGUAAGGGGUUUUAGACCGAAAUCAAGCGGAACUCGUAUACACUAAUCGGAUUAAGAUUUUCGCUUUACGUCAGUUUGAGAGGUACUGA